AGUCGAGCGAACAGAUAAGGAGCUUGCUCCUUUGACGUUAGCGGCGGACGGGUGAGUAACACGUGGGUAACCUACCUAUAAGACUGGAAUAACUCCGGGAAACCGGGGCUAAUGCCGGAUAACAUGUUGAACCGCAUGGUUCUACAGUGAAAGGCGGCUUUGCUGUCACUUAUAGAUGGACCCGCGCCGUAUUAGCUAGUUGGUGAGGURACGGCUCACCAAGGCAACGAUACGUAGCCGACCUGAGAGGGUGAUCGGCCACACUGGAACUGAGACACGGUCCAGACUCCUACGGGAGGCAGCAGUAGGGAAUCUUCCGCAAUGGGCGAAAGCCUGACGGAGCAACGCCGCGUGAGUGAUGAAGGUCUUCGGAUCGUAAAACUCUGUUAUUAGGGAAGAACAAAUGCGUAAGUAACUGUGCGCGUCUUGACGGUACCUAAUCAGAAAGCCACGGCUAACUACGUGCCAGCAGCCGCGGUAAUACGUAGGUGGCAAGCGUUAUCCGGAAUUAUUGGGCGUAAAGCGCGCGUAGGCGGUUUUUUAAGUCUGAUGUGAAAGCCCACGGCUCAACCGUGGAGGGUCAUUGGAAACUGAAAAACUUGAGUGCAGAAGAGGAAAGUGGAAUUCCAUGUGUAGCGGUGAAAUGCGCAGAGAUAUGGAGGAACACCAGUGGCGAAGGCGACUUUCUGGUCUGUAACUGACGCUGAUGUGC
This 712-nucleotide ribosomal RNA is filed under the name Staphylococcus auricularis. RNAcentral describes it as "bacterial SSU rRNA". It matches the Rfam family "Bacterial small subunit ribosomal RNA", at positions 60 to 754 of the family's 1533-position model. The record is from RNAcentral. Lineage: Bacteria; Bacillati; Bacillota; Bacilli; Caryophanales; Staphylococcaceae.